Molecule: ribosomal RNA, 1243 nt
Filed under: Aster yellows phytoplasma
Lineage: Bacteria; Bacillati; Mycoplasmatota; Mollicutes; Acholeplasmatales; Acholeplasmataceae
Description: bacterial SSU rRNA
Rfam family: Bacterial small subunit ribosomal RNA
Source: RNAcentral
ACGACUGCUAAGACUGGAUAGGAGACAAGAGGGCAUCUUCUUGUUUUUAAAAGACCUAGCAAUAGGUAUGCUUAGGGAGAAGCUUGCGUCACAUUAGUUAGUUGGUGGGGUAAAGGCCUAACAAGACUAUGAUGUGUAGCCGGGCUGAGAGGUUGAACGGCCACAUUGGGACCGAGACACGGCCCAAACUCCUACGGGAGGCAGCAGUAGGGAAUUUUCGGCAAUGGAGGAAACUCUGACCGAGCAACGCCGCGUGAACGAUGAAGUAUUUCGGUACGUAAAGUUCUUUUAUUAGGGAAGAAUAAAUGAUGGAAAAAUCGUUCUGACGGUACCUAAUGAAUAAGCCCCGGCUAACUAUGUGCCAGCAGCCGCGGUAAUACAUAGGGGGCAAGCGUUAUCCGGAAUUAUUGGGCGUAAAGGGUGCGUAGGCGGUUAAAUAAGUUUAUGGUCUAAGUGCAAUGCUCAACAUUGUGAUGCUAUAAAAACUGUUUAGCUAGAGUAAGAUAGAGGCAAGUGGAAUUCCAUGUGUAGUGGUAAAAUGCGUAAAUAUAUGGAGGAACACCAGUAGCGAAGGCGGCUUGCUGGGUCUUUACUGACGCUGAGGCACGAAAGCGUGGGGAGCAAACAGGAUUAGAUACCCUGGUAGUCCACGCCGUAAACGAUGAGUACUAAACGUUGGGUAAAACCAGUGUUGAAGUUAACACAUUAAGUAUUCCGCCUGAGUAGUACGUACGCAAGUAUGAGACUUAAAGGAAUUGACGGGACUCCGCACAAGCGGUGGAUCAUGUUGUUUAAUUCGAAGGUACCCGAAAAACCUCACCAGGUCUUGACAUGCCUCUGCAAAGCUGUAGAAACACAGUGGUGGUUAUCAGUUGCACAGGUGGUGCAUGGUUGUCGUCAGCUCGUGUCGUGAGAUGUUGGGUUAAGUCCCGCAACGAGCGCAACCCUUAUUGUUAGUUACCAGCACGUAAUGGUGGGGACUUUAGCAAGACUGCCAGUGAUAAAUUGGAGGAAGGUGGGGACGACGUCAAAUCAUCAUGCCCCUCAUGACCUGGGCUACAAACGUGAUACAAUGGCUGUUACAAAGGGUAGCUGAAGCGCAAGUUUUUGGCGAAUCUCAAAAAAACAGUCUCAGUUCGGAUUGAAGUCUGCAACUCGACUUCACGAAGUUGGAAUCGCUAGUAAUCGCGAAUCAGCAUGUCGCGGUGAAUACGUUCUCGGGGUUUGUACACACCGCCCGUCA